CUAAACAUCAUCCCUUAAGCGUAUACUAUAUAAAACCAUAACGGUCGUAUAACAGUGCAAUAUGGGAUUCUGCUAAAAACUCUAAUAAGAGAACCGUUUAAGUCUUCCAAAAUAUCUGCGUUUACUUAAUGGCUUGAGUAUCCUAGUGCGAUUCAAAGAUUUCCAUAAAAUCUGUUCAACCGACAAAUAAUCACUACUCUUGACUAUAAAUGUUUUAUCGCAAAGCUCCAAUCCAAUUACAACCAGUUCGUCGAGGAUCCAGCCUCAAGCUCAACUAUAUUCUACCCUACCAGGCGUCAAAAGCGGUUCUGGUACCGCGACAUGAAUUUCCUAUGAAUUAAAUUUAUUGGAUACCUAUACCAAGAGAGU
Cinara cedri is the source of this 369-nucleotide non-coding RNA. The record is from the annotation of a GenBank genome assembly. NCBI's taxonomy places the organism in Eukaryota, Metazoa, Arthropoda, Insecta, Hemiptera, Aphididae.